This 585-nucleotide unclassified non-coding RNA is filed under the name Hevea brasiliensis (rubber tree). Lineage: Eukaryota; Viridiplantae; Streptophyta; Magnoliopsida; Malpighiales; Euphorbiaceae. The record is from RNAcentral.
GCAGAAAGUGCCUCUCCCUCUUAACGAAUUUACAUCCUUCCUGUCAAAAUAAACGGUCAAAUUAUCAUAGCAAAGCCCAUUGCGUUGAAAAGCUUCGUAAUUGCAACCAUUUCAUUUCUGCAACCUCAACGCACUGCUAUAUAUUGAAAUCGGGGCUUUUGCAUGACACUUUCACCACCAAUCAUCUCAUAAAUUGCUACGUAAGACUCCGAAGAACCAGCUAUGCGCAGCAACUAUUCGAUGAAAUGCCUGAAUCCAAUGUGGUCUCAUGGACUUCGCUCAUGGCUGGCUACGUUGAUACGGGUCAACCCAAAUUUGCUAUUUGGUUAUUUAGAAAAAUGCCUGAGAGUUCAGUCUCUCCAAAUGAUUUCACUUUUGCAACAGUGAUUAAUGCGUCUUCAAUGCUUGCAGACCUUGAAACUGGAAAGAAAAUCCAUACCCAUAUUGAGAUUUUGGGGUUUCAAGGCAAUCUUGUGGUAUGCUCUUCAUUGGUUGAUAUGUAUGGGAAAUGCAAUGAUGUUGAUGGAGCCAGGCGGGUCUUUGAUUUGAUGGAUUAUAGGAAUGUUGUUUCUUGGACUUCAAUGA